GACGUAGGUGGCGAACGUUAUCCGGAAUCAUUGGGCGUAAAGGGCGCGUAGGUGGCCAACUAAGUCGGACGUGAAAUCCCUCGGCUUAACCGGGGAACUGCGUCUGAUACUGGAUGGCUUGAGUUCGGGAGAGGGAUGCGGAAUUCCAGGUGUAGCGGUGAAAUGCGUAGAUAUCUGGAGGAACACCGGUGGCGAAGGCGGCAUCCUGGACCGACACUGACGCUGAGGAGCGAAAGCCAGGGGAGCAAACGGG
This 253-nucleotide ribosomal RNA is filed under the name uncultured bacterium. RNAcentral describes it as "partial 16S ribosomal RNA". It matches the Rfam family "Bacterial small subunit ribosomal RNA", at positions 524 to 776 of the family's 1533-position model. The record is from RNAcentral.